GCCAAGUAUCCUAACGGUGGGGAGCGGUUUUGAAAAUCGUGGACUGUAAAGGGUUAGAGGGUUCGACUCCUUCACUUGGCGC
Molecule: transfer RNA, 82 nt
Filed under: Enterocloster clostridioformis
Lineage: Bacteria; Bacillati; Bacillota; Clostridia; Lachnospirales; Lachnospiraceae
Also listed under: 1 other name
Description: tRNA-Ser(tga)
Rfam family: tRNA
About the family: Transfer RNA (tRNA) molecules are approximately 80 nucleotides in length. Their secondary structure includes four short double-helical elements and three loops (D, anti-codon, and T loops).
Source: RNAcentral